RNAcentral lists this ribosomal RNA (443 nucleotides) under uncultured bacterium. RNAcentral's name for it is "partial 16S ribosomal RNA". It matches the Rfam family "Bacterial small subunit ribosomal RNA", at positions 338 to 795 of the family's 1533-position model. The record is from RNAcentral.
CCUACGGGCGGCUGCAGUGGGGAAUAUUGGGCAAUGGGCGCAAGCCUGACCCAGCAACGCCGCGUGAAGGAAGAAGGCUUUCGGGUUGUAAACUCCUUUUCUCAGGGACGAAGCAAGUGACGGUACCUGAGGAAUAAGCCACGGCUAACUACGUGCCAGCAGCCGCGGUAAUACGUAGGUGGCAAGCGUUAUCCGGAUUUACUGGGUGUAAAGGGCGUGUAGGCGGGACGGCAAGUCAGAUGUGAAAACGACGGGCGCAACCUGUGGCCUGCAUUUGAAACUGGAGUUCUUGAGUACUGGAGAGGCAGACGGAAUUCGUAGUGUAGCGGUGAAAGGCGUAGAUAUUAGGAGGAACACCAGUGGCGAAGGCGGUCUGCUGGACAGCAACUGACGCUGAGGCGCGAAAGCGUGGGGAGCAAACAGGAUUAGAGACCCUAGUAGUC